UACGAAGGGUGCAAGCGUUACUCGGAAUUACUGGGCGUAAAGCGUGCGUAGGUGGUUCGUUAAGUCUGCCGUGAAAGCCCCGGGCUCAACCUGGGAAUGGCGGUGGAUACUGGCGGACUAGAGUGCGGUAGAGGGUGGUGGAAUUCCAGGUGUAGCGGUGAAAUGCGUAGAUAUCUGGAGGAAUACCGGUGGCGAAGGCGGCAUCCUGGACCAUUACUGACGCUGAGGCGCGAAAGCUAGGGGAGCAAACGGG
RNAcentral lists this ribosomal RNA (253 nucleotides) under uncultured bacterium. RNAcentral describes it as "partial 16S ribosomal RNA". It matches the Rfam family "Bacterial small subunit ribosomal RNA", at positions 524 to 776 of the family's 1533-position model. The record is from RNAcentral.